CAGCCGCCUCGGUAAUACCGGCGGCCCGAGUGGCGGUCACUAUUAUUGGGCUUAAAGCGUCCGUAGCCGGGUUGGGAAGUCCUCCGGGAAAUCUGGCCGCUUAACGGUCAGAAUGCCGGAGGAUACUCCCAGCCUAGGGAGCGGGAGAGGCCGAGGGUAUUCCCGGAGUAGGGGUGAAAUCCUAUAAUCCCAGGGGGACCGCCAGUGGCGAAGGCGCCCCGCUGGAACGGGUCCGACGGUGAGGGACGAAGGCCAGGGGAGCAAACCGGAUUAGAUACCCGGGUAGUCCUGGCUGUAAAGGAUGCGGGCUAGGUGUCGGGUGAGCUUCGGGCUCGCCCGGUGCCGUAGGGAAGCCGUUAAGCCCGCCGCCUGGGGAGUACGGCCGCAAGGCUGAAACUUAAAGGAAUUGGCGGG
Molecule: ribosomal RNA, 414 nt
Filed under: uncultured microorganism
Description: bacterial SSU rRNA
Rfam family: Archaeal small subunit ribosomal RNA
Source: RNAcentral